RNAcentral lists this ribosomal RNA (486 nucleotides) under uncultured bacterium. RNAcentral's name for it is "partial 16S ribosomal RNA". It matches the Rfam family "Bacterial small subunit ribosomal RNA", at positions 30 to 507 of the family's 1533-position model. The record is from RNAcentral.
AUUGAACGCUGGCGGCAUGCCUUACACAUGCAAGUCGAACGGCAGCACGGGUGCUUGCACCUGGUGGCGAGUGGCGAACGGGUGAGUAAUACAUCGGAACAUGUCCUGUAGUGGGGGAUAGCCCGGCGAAAGCCGGAUUAAUACCGCAUACGAUCCACGGAUGAAAGCGGGGGACCUUCGGGCCUCGCGCUAUAGGGUUGGCCGAUGGCUGAUUAGCUAGUUGGUGGGGUAAAGGCCUACCAAGGCGACGAUCAGUAGCUGGUCUGAGAGGACGACCAGCCACACUGGGACUGAGACACGGUCCAGACUCCUACGGGAGGCAGCAGUGGGGAAUUUUGGACAAUGGGCGAAAGCCUGAUCCAGCAAUGCCGCGUGUGUGAAGAAGGCCUUCGGGUUGUAAAGCACUUUUGUCCGGAAAGAAAUCCUUGACUCUAAUACAGUCGGGGGAUGACGGUACCGGAAGAAUAAGCACCGGCUAACUACGUG